CACGAACUUGGUGACUUAAAAGAACAGACAUUGAUUCUCUCACUGUUGUGGAGUCUGGAAGUCCAAACUCCAGGUGUCAGCAGGUGGGUGGCUUCUGGAGGCUCUGAGGAGAAUCCCUUCUGGCCUCCCUCCCAGCAUCUGGUGCUGCUGACGGUCCUUGGCCUUCCUUGGCUUGCAGCUGCUCUCUGCAAUCUCUGCCUCCGUUGUCACGUAGCUUUCUUCCCUCUUUGUGUCUUCACAUGGCCUUCUUAUAAGGACACCGGCCCACCCUAAUCCAUUAUGACCUAAGUGUAACUAAUUAUAUGAGCAAAAACCUUAUUUACAAUUAAAGUCACCUUCUGAGGUUCUGGAUGGACAUGAAUUUUGGGAGGACAACCUUCAACCCGAUAUUUUCCUAUAGGGUUCACCUUCCCAGGGAAGGAGCAGCCUUGUUUUCGAUCCUGGAUUUGGAAGAGGCUUAGGGGCUGCAUGGCUGUCCUGGUCCUCCUCCCUCCGCACCAGCA
This 503-nucleotide long non-coding RNA is filed under the name Equus caballus (horse). Its description in RNAcentral is "lncRNA (ENSECAG00000043925.1)". Lineage: Eukaryota; Metazoa; Chordata; Mammalia; Perissodactyla; Equidae. The record is from RNAcentral.